RNAcentral lists this ribosomal RNA (433 nucleotides) under uncultured bacterium. RNAcentral's name for it is "partial 16S ribosomal RNA". It matches the Rfam family "Bacterial small subunit ribosomal RNA", at positions 29 to 507 of the family's 1533-position model. The record is from RNAcentral.
AACGAACGCUGGCGGCGUGCCUAACACAUGCAAGUCGAACGAAACCGUCCGGUCUUUUUGCGCACGGUUGCGUAAGGCGGGGGAACCUUCCCUUGUGUUCGGAAUAACUCCCCGAAGGGUAUCCUAAUGCCAGAUAGUGUCUUCUAACCAAAGAUUUAUCGCCUUUGGAUGGGCCCUCGUUGGAUUAGCUGGUUGGUAGUGUAAUAGCCUACCACGGCGUGGAUCCAUAGCUGGUCUGAGAGGCUGCUCCGCUACACUGGGAAUGAGACACGGACCAGAAUCCUACGCGAGGGAGCAGUGGGUAAUAUAGGAAACUGGGCGAAAGCAUGAUAAAGCAAUGACGCGUGAGUGAUGAAGGCGUUAGGGUUGUAAAGCUCUUUUACCCGGGAUGAUAAUGACAGUACCGGGAGAAUAAGCUCCGGCUAACUACGUG